AGCUUUCUGAAUCCGUGCUGAGAUUUCGUCAGAUAUCAGUCCAUCAGGAUUGAUGAGACUCCCAAGAUACAUGAAGUG
Non-coding RNA from Schistosoma rodhaini, 78 nucleotides. The record is from Rfam. NCBI's taxonomy places the organism in Eukaryota, Metazoa, Platyhelminthes, Trematoda, Strigeidida, Schistosomatidae.